AAGCCAGAGCAGGAGCGACUGGAGGUCAGGCGCUCCACUGGUCGUGUUUCUGCGCUCUAUGUGAGCAGCCUGUGUUUUGUUUGACAGCGCUUUGAACCACUGCUCAUCGUGAACACCGGCAACGAAGAGCGCUUGCACCGAAUCAGGGAUGAAAUAGGUUUCGAACCACACAGUGACACACUAAUUCGCGAUCACACGCUUCGUACCGAGGAUUACAGCAGUGAUCCGCCACCGCCUGAUUGGCCGGACUUCCGUGAGGAUGACAACGAUCAUGCGUGCGACAGUGGGCUUUGUGGAGCAAUGCCGACAGCCCUUGAACAAGUGUGCUGUCGCGACAUACCACCAGUUGUUCGCGGAAGUCUCGACUGCUGCAAAACUCGGCACGAAGAGUUCCGAAGCGUAGGUCUGAGCUUCGCGGUGCUGCGUGCUCAUUAUUGUGAGCUGAAAGAGAAUGGCAUCGUGGUUCAAGGAGAACUGCACAGGUAUUACAGUAAUGAAUAAAAAACAUUUUGAAGUUGCAGUUCCAGCAACGGCAUCCUA
Molecule: long non-coding RNA, 540 nt
Organism: Rhipicephalus microplus (southern cattle tick)
Lineage: Eukaryota; Metazoa; Arthropoda; Arachnida; Ixodida; Ixodidae
Source: RefSeq, a predicted model, not a curated record